AGGGAAUAUUAGUAAUGGGCGAAAGCCUGAACUAGCAACGCCGCGUGUGCGAAGAAGGCCUUCGGGUUGUAAAGCACUUUUUGAGAGGAUGAGGAAGGACGGUACUCUCAGAAUAAGUCUCGGCUAACUACGUGCCAGCAGCCGCGGUAACACGUAGGAGGCAAACGUUAUCCGGAUUUACUGGGCGUAAAGCGCGUGUAGGUGGUUUGGUAAGUAGGGCGUGAAAGCUCCUGGCUCAACUGGGAGAGGCCGUUCUAAACUGCCGAACUAGAGGGUGGUAGAGGGAGGUGGAAUUCCGGGUGUAGCGGUGGAAUGCGCAGAUAUCUGGAGGAACACCAGUGGCGAAAGCGGCCUCCUGGACCAUUCCUGACACUCAGACGCGAAAGCUAGGGUAGCAAACGG
Molecule: ribosomal RNA, 402 nt
Filed under: uncultured bacterium
Lineage: Bacteria
Description: bacterial SSU rRNA
Rfam family: Bacterial small subunit ribosomal RNA
Source: RNAcentral